UACAGAGGUGGCAAGCGUUGUUCGGAAUUACUGGGCGUAAAGGGCGCGUAGGCGGCCUUCUAAGUCAGACGUGAAAUCCCCCGGCUUAACCUGGGAACUGCGUCUGAUACUGGAAGGCUUGAGUAUGGGAGAGGGAUGUAGAAUUCCAGGUGUAGCGGUGAAAUGCGCAGAUAUCAGGAGGAACACCGAUGGCGAAGGCAGGUCUCUGGGCAUUAACUGACGCUGAGGAGCGAAAGCAUGGGGAGCGAACCGG
This 253-nucleotide ribosomal RNA is filed under the name uncultured bacterium. RNAcentral's name for it is "partial 16S ribosomal RNA". It matches the Rfam family "Bacterial small subunit ribosomal RNA", at positions 524 to 776 of the family's 1533-position model. The record is from RNAcentral.